AGGAGAGUGAUCUAGAGAGGGGUAAGCAUCAUUUUCCUUCCUGCUGAUGCAGAAAACCCCUUUGGCCCUAUUAAACUUGUUGGUGAGAUGGAAAUUAUUCUCAAACACUAGUUGGACAGUUGGUCUGGUAUAAAAUUAUUAUUAUUUCUUAAGUGCUAAGUCCUCUUUCCUGUAAUUUAUUUUGAGGAGGUAUCUACAUCCUGUGGUUUGGCUCUAAGAUCUUUGUUUAGCAGGAAGGAGGGCUCAUAUAUAUAUACACACAUAUAUAUAAAAUAUAUGCAGGCUUUUAUGUGUAUAUGUACUUAUAUAAAGAUAGAUAUGAAUAUUUCAGAGUAAUACAGAAAAUGCAGUCUCACAAAAACAGAGUCUGAGCAGGGAGACGAGAUAUUUUUAACGAAAAUCUUCUCUUUUUCUCUUUUAAGAUGAACUCACCGAAGAACUUGGUAAGUCUUUUCCUUCCUUUACCAACAGCAAAUACCAAACACUUAUCUUCCUCUUUGAGCUUCGUCAGAAGGGAAUCCCAAUAAAUGCAUGAAGCAAACAUCAGCGAAGUUUAAUACUGAUGAAGUCGAAUUUUUGCAACUUUAUCACAAGUAGCAUGUUGGCACAUCUCCAGCUGGCAUUACUUGCAAUAUAUAGGAAUUUCUCUCUAGUCUUAUUUUUUUUUCACUUAUUUUUGGAGAGGUUUAGUUGGAGAAUAUGACAGAAGAACCAAGAAGCACCACUGAGCUUCUUCUGAUAAACAAAUAUCCAACAGAUUCCAGCCCCUAAUUAUCUUCCUGUGAUGGAAUCUAAUUAUCUUCCUAUAAUUUUAAGAUUUUAAUUUUAAUUCUAAAAUAAGAGGGUUUGAUAUUUUAUCUUUGAAAGAUUUGGGAUGGGAAGCCUUGUAUAAAUCUCCACAAUGUAACAUGAUAACUGCAAAAAAGGGGAAGAUAUUUGGGUCGUCUAAUGGAAGAGAUGAAAUCACUGAAGAACUUGGGGAACGUGAUAAAAAAAUAGAGGAACUCACUGAAGAGCUUGGUAAGUCAUUUCUUUUUACCUUCUCCCUUUAUUUUCUUUCCCUUUCUCUCUCUUUUUAUUUUCUUCUCUCUCUCUUUUUUUUUUUUUUUAAUGUUCUUCUCUCUGCUAAUCUAUUACAUUGUUCUGAGUUUUACAUUUUCUCUCAUAUCUCAGUUUAGAAAAAUAAAAACUGCAUUGCAGUACAGCACUGCAGGAGAAAUUUUCCAGCUGCAAUUUGCAAAACCAUGAAACAAAGGGUGGGUGCUUCUAACAUUUACUUUUCCUUUCUGUUCUUUUUCAGCCAAGCAGACUGCCCAGAUUGGUAAGAAUUUGUUCUCUCUAGUAUGAAACGAAAGCACGUGCAGGUGCAAGUUUUGCUCUGAAUCUUGCACUUUUCCUUUAAUAUGACCAUUCAUAUCCUAAGUUGCUACUUUCUUGCAUCUCUUCAUUCUCCCUGCACAACCCAAACGCCAAUCUGUAGGAUUUUUUUUUGAAAAUAAAGACUUUGGAAAAUAAAGGGGUUGAUUUGAGGAUCUUUUAUUGAGGGCUUUCUUUAAUUCCAUGGUAUUUAAAUCCACCAAGAGCAAUUAACAUUUAACAUCACUAAAUUUGUUUUUAGAAGAGAAAUGUAGAAUCCUCCACAAUUCAUUUAGUUCAUGAA
RNAcentral lists this long non-coding RNA (1660 nucleotides) under Anas platyrhynchos (mallard). RNAcentral describes it as "lncRNA (ENSAPLG00020009245.1)". Lineage: Eukaryota; Metazoa; Chordata; Aves; Anseriformes; Anatidae. The record is from RNAcentral.